Molecule: long non-coding RNA, 1280 nt
Filed under: Homo sapiens (human)
Lineage: Eukaryota; Metazoa; Chordata; Mammalia; Primates; Hominidae
Description: HSALNT0277841
Source: RNAcentral
GCCUCUGGAGCGGGAAGGCAUAGGUAGCUCGGGGGGAAGGUUCUGUGGGGUUGGACGAAUAUAUUUUAUGGCUCAAGUUCUAAUUCAGCAGCCCUGUCUCCCUCCUGCCCCUGGGAGAACUUCUGCUUUCCCUGGAAUGGGGCUGUGGAAGGACAGACUGGUCCGUGGGUCCGGGUGACCUAAUUUGAAUAAUGCGAACGGGAAUGCUGAGAUUCUGAUAUGCACGAUGGUCUUGGGGCCUAUGGGUCGGGGGGAAUGAAGACCCUGGAUUGGAAUUGGAAUUGGAACCCAACCAGGAGGAACAGGCAGCCCAGGGGUUUGGUGGAGGGUUUUGGGUGACAGGGACGUUACCAGGAGGCAGGAGAGGCCCAAGCACACCACUUGGCAGUGCCUGGCAGAGCAGGGCAGGGCGCGGGAGGGCGGGUGACAGUGGCUGGUACAGGUUUCAGCAGUGAACACCUCCCGCUGCACUCUGGGCCUCCCCAUGGAGGAGCUGGAAGCUAAAAUAGGACUCUAUUUUGGGGGCCUGAGGCGAACUGGAGUCACUUCCCUGCCAGAAGUGAGAAGUUGCUUCAGCCUCUACCAGGGCAGGCCCUCCCCUAUGCCGGAGUGGCAGGGGGUGGGCCUUAUGGGUGCGGCCUGAGGCAGAGGGUGCGGGCCAAGGAGUGGGAGAGGACCGUGGCUGCUGAGGGGCUGAGGGGCUGGGGGCCUGGCCCACAGACAUCAUCUCCCUCCGUCCUCAGGGCAGCGGUGUGAGGUGGGAGCUGGGGCUUCCCCAUGUUACAGAUGAGGCUCAGAGAGGCCAAGUCACCUCUCCAAGGUCAAUCAGUAGCAAGGGGCAGAGCCAGGAUUUGGCCAGGUCUGGAUGACGCCUGAGAUGUAAUCCCAACCCCAGCAGUGGGCGUGAGCGGGACCUCCACAGGCAGAAGGAGCAGCUGUUUCCUGACCACCUGCCGGGUGCCUGGCCCUCUGCACGCGCGAUGGCUCAGUGAGGCCCUGUGUCCCGCCCCACAGGAGGCUGCAGCCUCGCCCCUUCUCACAGACAGGCCUGAAGCCAAGAAGGCAGGCCUGGGAAGCUCCAGCCUCAGGUUGCUGCCCGGAGUCGCCAUGAAGGAAUGUGAUGCAGCCUAUUGGAGGAGAACCAAACCCCACCACCACCCCAGAAAGCCAUACCAGCUGCCGACAUGUACAUGGGCUCAUCGGGGGUUUUCCAGGCCCACUGAUGUUCCAGCUGAGCACAGCUGCCGGGUUGCCCACGCGCCACAUGAGGCAGAGCUUGC